UCCCACUGAGAGAGACCAAACUAUCAACAACUGCUGCAGGAUUCUCUGGCAUCUGCACUUUGGCUGGAGUUGGCUACAACCAUCCUUGGAGGAUGAGGAGAAGGAAGGAAGAGAGGGAAAGCGCAUAAGACUGGGCCACCUGUCCACCUUCUCCAACCCUCACCAUUGCUCGAGGCUCUCUUAAUCCAUUUAUGAGGAGGACAUCCUGCAGAAAGAGUCUCCACCCUGCCCAACACUCCAUAGUCCAGCUCACUGCAAGCCAGAAGAGACGGGGAGGAAGACGCAGGAAAGUUCCACUUCCAGAUCUUCAUAUGGCUGGCUCUUCCCUGACUCCAUCUCCUAAGUGGGAUCUUUCUUGACCACUCAACCUAAACCAGGCACUCACCGUUACCUCUCCUUAUUUUAUUUUCUUCAUAGAACUUGCCAGCAUUUGAAGCUGUCUUGUUAGUCUGCUUGGGUACUUACAUACCACCCAUCCGCCCCAUC
Molecule: long non-coding RNA, 486 nt
Filed under: Homo sapiens (human)
Lineage: Eukaryota; Metazoa; Chordata; Mammalia; Primates; Hominidae
Description: HSALNT0223444
Source: RNAcentral